UUUCCCGCCCGUUUCUUCUUCUUCUCUUUCUUCUCCUUUCCUUUUUCUUUUUCUUUUCCUUCUCUGUACCCCGCCUGAUCGAACCUGCCAUUCUCUUUUCUUUCUUCUUCUUCUUUCUUCCUUCUCCUCCUCCUGUAACCCGCUCGACUUGUCAACAUCUCGACCUUCUCCUCUGCGUCUUCUUCUCCUUCCUCUUCUCACGCGAACGCCUGCAACCGGACCUACCCCCCUCCUGACCCUCUCUUCUCCUCUUCUUCUCCUCUUCUUCUCCUUCCCCUGCUCUUUCGAGCACACGCAUCCACUGCCGCAUGCUCUGCCUCCCGUCUGCUUCUUCUUCCUGUUAUCCUUCCCGCAGCAGCCCUGCAACAACCCAGCCAAACCAUCACUCAUCCCUUUGCCCUUCUCUACAAUCCCCCGUUCUCUACGGAGUACACCGGCUUUGCCCCGUGAGAAGCCUCUCCUCUGCUCCUUUCUCUUCUUCAUUUCUUCACGGCAACCCUGCAACUCCAUCAACACCCGAGCCUGCAAUUAGCUCAACCGGACCUCGUCACCAUCAACCCUUUGGCUCUCUCUCGCUCGCUCUCUCUAUCUAUCUCUCUCUCUCUCUCUCUCUCAAAGAAACCAGAACAGACAGACAGAAAGAAAAAAAAGCCCGGGGGGCAAAGAACAGAAACCCUCAAGCUCACACACACUCACCCUCAUCUUGCUUAGCUCAGAAACCCCGAGACUAAGGCCCUCGGCACUCUCUCUCACCCCGGACCCCAACGUCCUCAGCACUCUCUCACACUCCCUUCAGUUCACUCACCCUCGCAGACAACUCCCUCUCAGCCCGCCAUUCAUGGACACAACCCCAGCUCACGCCACUUCCCUAGCUCAGUGGCCCGACGACCCGCCACCCAGGCAAUCACUCCAGCCACGCUCAAGGACCUCCCAGGGAUCGCAUGCAACUGAGUCACGACGCCUGAACCACCCGGAUUAUCCUCCAUCUUUCUCGGUUUCGUUGUGGUUCUAACCGGGUUAGUUUUGUGUUUUCCAAGUUUGCACAGAUAGCCACCUGCUGGGAGCCAUUCUCGACCCCCUUCGAGAGCCUCUCAGGAGCCUAGAGCCCCAUCCUCAUCUCCGGAAGUAGCCUUGAGACUCUCGAGCUAGCCAACCUCUCUCUCCGGGCGUUUUCCUCUCAGUCGAGUUUGCCAGACCUGAUCGGGUACCCUACUUGUCCAGCAACGCCAUCCGACUUCCAACGGCUUUCUCCUCCCCCCCGAGCUAGAAAUGACCAAAAAAGGGGAUAGAAAGACCAUGCAAAACUCGAUUCGGGCUCAAGGGUCUCACAGCCAUCUCCAAGCGAUGGUGGCCGAGUGUCUCUUGACCAGUCUCAGGUCAAGUAGGGCCUCCUUGUCUCGUUUAAAGUUGACUCUCUGAUUGUGUGCAAUUGUAUUUUUCGUUUGGCAUUAAUCAGAUGAUAAAUCGCUUGUUAAACGCGUUAGUUUUAAGUAA
Non-coding RNA from Punica granatum (pomegranate), 1494 nucleotides. The record is from RefSeq and is a predicted model, not a curated record. NCBI's taxonomy places the organism in Eukaryota, Viridiplantae, Streptophyta, Magnoliopsida, Myrtales, Lythraceae.